CCCUUCGGGGUACUCGAGUGGCGAACGGGUGAGUAACACGUGGGUAAUCUGCCCUGCACUUUGGGAUAAGCCUGGGAAACUGGGUCUAAUACCGAAUAGGACCACGCNNNNCAUGGUGUGUGGUGGAAAGCUUUUGCGGUGUGGGAUGGGCCCGCGGCCUAUCAGCUUGUUGGUGGGGUAAUGGCCUACCAAGGCGACGACGGGUAGCCGGCCUGAGAGGGUGACCGGCCCCACUGGGACUGAGAUACGGCCCAGACUCCUACGGGAGGCAGCAGUGGGGAAUAUUGCACAAUGGGCGCAAGCCUGAUGCAGCGACGCCGCGUGAGGGAUGACGGCCUUCGGGUUGUAACCUCUUUCAAUAGGGACGAAGCGCAAGUGACGGUACCUAUAGAAGAAGCACCGGCCAACUACGUGCCAGCAGCCGCGGUAAUACGUAGGGUGCGAGCGUUGUCCGGAAUUACUGGGCGUAAAGAGCUCGUAGGUGGUUUGUCGCGUUGUUCGUGAAAACUCACAGCUUAACUGUGGGCGUGCGGGCGAUACGGGCAGACUAGAGUACUGCAGGGGAGACUGGAAUUCCUGGUGUAGCGGUGGAAUGCGCAGAUAUCAGGAGGAACACCGGUGGCGAAGGCGGGUCUCUGGGCAGUAACUGACGCUGAGGAGCGAAAGCGUGGGGAGCGAACAGGAUUAGAUACCCUGGUAGUCCACGCCGUANACGGNNGGUACUAGGUGUGGGUUCCUUCCUUGGGAUCCGUGCCGUAGCUAACGCAUUAAGUACCCCGCCUGGGGAGUACGGCCGCAAGNNNANNACUCAAAGNNNUUGACGGGGGCC
Molecule: ribosomal RNA, 829 nt
Filed under: uncultured bacterium
Lineage: Bacteria
Description: bacterial SSU rRNA
Rfam family: Bacterial small subunit ribosomal RNA
Source: RNAcentral